This 775-nucleotide ribosomal RNA is filed under the name uncultured Neocallimastigales. RNAcentral's name for it is "partial large subunit ribosomal RNA". It matches the Rfam family "Eukaryotic large subunit ribosomal RNA", at positions 24 to 647 of the family's 3401-position model. Lineage: Eukaryota; Fungi; Neocallimastigomycota; Neocallimastigomycetes; Neocallimastigales. The record is from RNAcentral.
GUAGUCUCGCACAGAUGCAUAUCAAUAAGCGGAGGAAAAGAAACUAACAAGGAUUCCCCUAGUAACGGCGAGUGAAGCGGGAAGAGCUCAAAUUUGAAAUCUUAAAGGGUUUCCCUUUACGAAUUGUAGUUUAAAGAAGUGUUUUCUGUUGAGGUUUUGGUAAAAGUUCUUUGGAAUAGGACAUCAUAGAGGGUGAGAAUCCCGUAUUUGACCUUUACUUUCAACUUUGUGAUACACUUUCAAAGAGUCGGAUUGUUUGGGAAUGCAGUCCAAAAUGGGUGGUAAAUUCCAUCUAAAGCUAAAUAUUGGCGAGAGACCGAUAGCGAACAAGUACCGUGAGGGAAAGAUGAAAAGAACUUUGAAAAGAGAGUUAAACAGUACGUGAAAUUGUCAAAAGGGAAGCGUUUGACACCAGUGUUGUUUUUCUGAAAAUCAAUUAAAGAACUGUUUAUGCUAAGCUGUUUAGACUUUAUCAGCUAUCUGUUUAGUUUUGAGCUUUUCUUUAAUGCACUUUUCAGUUAACAAGUCAACAUCAAUUUCUUUUGCUGUAAAAAAGCUUGAGGAAGGUGGCUUGAGAUUCGUCUUAAGUGUUUAUAGCCUCUUGCCUAUGCAGUCGGAGAGAUUGAGGUCUGCAGCGUAGAUCCUUCGGGGCUAAAUGCAUUUGUGCUAAGUUAUAACAUUUUAUAGACAACUUGUUGACUAUGGAUUUGUCUUGUAGCUUACUCGCUUAUGUUAUUUUACCUACGCUUAGGAUGUUGAUCUGUAGUGCGUGCGC